ACNNCUUAGAGGGACUAGUGGCGUUUAGCCACGCGAGAUUGAGCAAUAACAGGUCUGUGAUGCCCUUAGAUGUUCGGGGCGCACGCGCGCUACACUGAAGGAAUCAGCGUGUGUCUGCCCUUGGCCGGAAGGUCUGGGUAAUCCGUUGAACCUCCUUCGUGAUUGGGAUAGGGAAUUGNAAUUAUUUCCCUUGAANNNGGAAUUCCGAGUAAGCGCGAGUCAUCAGCUCGCGUUGAU
RNAcentral lists this ribosomal RNA (237 nucleotides) under Ophiomastix wendtii. RNAcentral describes it as "Ophiocoma wendtii partial 18S ribosomal RNA". It matches the Rfam family "Eukaryotic small subunit ribosomal RNA", at positions 1406 to 1645 of the family's 1831-position model. The record is from RNAcentral. Lineage: Eukaryota; Metazoa; Echinodermata; Ophiuroidea; Amphilepidida; Ophiocomidae.